RNAcentral lists this ribosomal RNA (320 nucleotides) under uncultured eukaryote. RNAcentral's name for it is "partial 18S ribosomal RNA". It matches the Rfam family "Eukaryotic small subunit ribosomal RNA", at positions 1470 to 1796 of the family's 1831-position model. The record is from RNAcentral.
CCCUUAGAUGUUCUGGGCUGCACGCGCGCUACACUGACACACUCAGCGAGUCUCCUGGCCCGAGAGGGUUGGGUAAUCAUGUGAGCGUGUGUCGUGAUGGGGAUAGAAUAUUGUAAUUAUUGCUCUUCAACGAGGAAUUCCUAGUAAGCGCGAGUCAGCAGCUCGCGCUGAUUACGUCCCUGCCCUUUGUACACACCGCCCGUCGCUCCUACCGAUGGGGUGAUCCGGUGAAUGAUUCGGACUUCCGCAGUGCUAGCUACUAGCUUUGUGGAAGAAAGUCUUGUGAACCUUNUNACUUGUNGGAAGGAGAANUCGUANCA